AGCGUUGUUCGGAAUUACUGGGCGUAAAGCGCACGUAGGCGGCUUUGUAAGUUAGAGGUGAAAGCCCGGGGCUCAACCCCGGAACUGCCUUUGAUACUGGGUAUCUCGAGUCCGGAAGAGGUGAGUGGAAUUCCGAGUGUAG
RNAcentral lists this ribosomal RNA (142 nucleotides) under uncultured Alphaproteobacteria bacterium. RNAcentral describes it as "partial 16S ribosomal RNA". It matches the Rfam family "Bacterial small subunit ribosomal RNA", at positions 537 to 678 of the family's 1533-position model. The record is from RNAcentral. Lineage: Bacteria; Pseudomonadati; Pseudomonadota; Alphaproteobacteria.